GAUAUCUUUAUCUCCAAGUUUCUCCUGCAGCUCAUUUCACCAAGUUGAGUUUGGCUUCUAGAGCUCCUAUGUCCAUCUCAAAAAUCUGUCYUUCAGGUUGUACUGUGUGUACUCUGCUUAUUUGAAUGCGUUCAUACCUUUCUCAGUGCUGUAAUGUUGAUUGUGGUUGGAAGAAAGCUAAGAAAUUGUGUCCACAGAAAAAGCCGCAAGAGAAAAGGGUGGAUUUCUUUUAUUCCAUUUUGGAGAACUGUACAUUUCUUUCCAAGCCAGAGAAAGCAUCUGCCUUUGCGCUCAAGAAGAUAGUUUGAACAUCCUCUAAACAGAAGGAGCUGUAACUGGGAUCCCACUAACAGCAAGUGUACCGUACUGGAAGGAAGCUGAAACUGCUUCAUUGCAGUGGGAAGGUGAGCAAGAAGAAUCCUCCCCUUUUGAAACUUCCAAUAUCAUGUCAUCAUUAAUCUGUCUUCCACUGAUAGUGAAGUUUUACUUGCUCCAGUUGGAAAAUGCUGCARUAGAUGAUACUGUUUUGCUGUUUGCUCAAGCAGUGUUGGCUGUUCUGAGGAGCUCUUCCGGUUUGACUCUUCUUGCUUUGGUCUGAGAUAGACUAGUGAUUACUCUCUGCCCAUGUGGAACGGCAUUCUGCACAUUAUGUAACAGCAAUCCACCUCCUUAAUUAGGGAGCAAGAUGCACAGAUUCCAGAGAAGACUUGUCCCUCUUAGUCAGAAGACAUAUGAGGUGUGCGGGGGAGCCUUUGUUCUUGCUGGAAGCUAAGGGAAGGAGCAGAAUUUAACUUCAUCAUCCAGUUGCAUUAAUUUAGUUUCUUUUUUUAAUCUAGCCUUUGUUGGAACGUUUGUACGUACUUGUUAACUAAUAUUUCAGAAACAGGAGAUGCUGCAAACAGUGACUUUCUCAUUCCAUACGAUAGGAUUUUUACUCUGUGCUAGAAUAUUAAAUACUGGAGAUGUCAUGUCUUCUCCAUGGCCUUUUAACAGAAUGGUUAGGGUAGAGGCAGCAGUUUCAACACAUGAUUUAAGGUAAGUGCCUCAUUUGUUCCCUACUGUUUUCUCUGAACUUUGGCAUCGCAUUAAUUAUACUGAAACUGCUCCUUUCUGGAAGUACACGACAAGGCAAAACUAGCGUUUUUCAUCCAUUCUGUUGAGGACAGCUCUUGCAAAUCACCUUGUAUUCCAUUAAAAUUAUUAAAUCAUCGGUUCCAGUCUUCCCUGUACAAACAAUCAACACUAAAACAUUAUCUGGUAGUGCUGACUAACAAAUCUGCAAUUAGUAAUCUCCAGUUAAUGAAGCUGCAUGGUGAUUAAAGC
RNAcentral lists this long non-coding RNA (1323 nucleotides) under Apteryx owenii (little spotted kiwi). RNAcentral describes it as "lncRNA (ENSAOWG00000014126.1)". Lineage: Eukaryota; Metazoa; Chordata; Aves; Apterygiformes; Apterygidae. The record is from RNAcentral.